UCCUUUGUGGUGGAAAGGUAGACACGCUUGAUUCAAAAUCAAGUGCUUAUCGCAUGCCGGUUCAAGUCCGGUCAAAGGUA
Molecule: transfer RNA, 80 nt
Filed under: Colacium mucronatum
Lineage: Eukaryota; Euglenozoa; Euglenophyceae; Euglenales; Euglenaceae
Description: tRNA-Leu
Rfam family: tRNA
About the family: Transfer RNA (tRNA) molecules are approximately 80 nucleotides in length.
Source: RNAcentral